CCUUAUAUUUCAACUAUAUUAAGUGUUAAAAGCCUACAAACUAUGGUUUCACCACAUAAUUUUCCUGCUAAUUGGCCUUUCUUAGCUUACCAAUCACCUUUAACUAUAUGAAAUAGGGUUUAUACAUUCAUUAUGUCAUAAAAAGUUUUGCCACAUCAAAAUAUAAUAGUAAAGUCACUGAGCUAGUAAGUUAUUGAUUUGACGACAAUAAUGUGAAAUUAGCUCUCACAAAAAUGUCAACGACAUUCUGUUCUUGUUUCAGUCAAACCAGAAUGGUGGUUUUUCCCAUGUUCAAUGUGUCGUUAUCUCUAUGUUGAUUUGACACUAAAAUGUUUAUGUCUCAACCAUUCACCAAAGUCUGUCUAUUUUAUUAUUACCUUCUAGAGUCAACAUUUCAUCCACAAUAUAUUUUGCUAUAUCUACAAGAUCAUUUUGCAACUAGGUUAGUAAUACAACUCAUGAAUCGUUUCAUCAAUUUUACAUUAUAUAUUAAGGAAAUAUCUAGAAUUUAAGACGUAUGCACCAAGUUGGGGAAGGGGAGGACAGAACAUGUAGCUCAAGGGGACAGGGGCUUGCUGGACAAAUCCCAAUGCCAGACCCCAGCCUCGCGCCACAAGGUGCAGUUGUUGUGCUGAUUGUUUAUUUUCCAAAUUGGUCUGAAAUGUACUGCCUGUAAGCUGUUGUUGUGUUGAUUGUUUAUUUUCCAUCUUGCUUGUCUCUUUUGUUAAACAAUAUUAUAGUAUCUGAACUAUAAGUCUCGUCUCAUUUCUUCUGAUGCUUGUCUUUUAAGUCUUUUGAUUUUCAUAUGUGGAACUUGUUGUUUGUCUAAAAGAUAAUUAUGCCUUUAGCCUUCCUUGGUAAUGUUGCAAAUGAAAUGGCCUGCAAAACUAAAACACCAGUUAGCUAAAAAAUCUGCAGCGUUGUUGCCUUCUCUCUGUGUGCGCUGAAGCUGUAUG
This 956-nucleotide long non-coding RNA is filed under the name Solanum tuberosum (potato). RNAcentral describes it as "long non-coding RNA (STUB_LNC007572)". Lineage: Eukaryota; Viridiplantae; Streptophyta; Magnoliopsida; Solanales; Solanaceae. The record is from RNAcentral.